GGUCCGCUGGCUCAAUGGCAGAGCGUCUGACUACGACUUCACAAAAGUUAUUAGGAGGUUCCAGGUUCGAACCCUGGGUGGAUCG
Molecule: non-coding RNA, 85 nt
Organism: Immersiella caudata
Lineage: Eukaryota; Fungi; Ascomycota; Sordariomycetes; Sordariales; Lasiosphaeriaceae
Source: the annotation of a GenBank genome assembly